AAAAACCGAACCAUCGCCGGAGGAGCGAUGUGCGGGAGGGAGCCGCGGGCAGCAGCACCCACCGCUGCUGGGGCUGCGUGCGGGGACAGACGGUGACACCAGCCUCCGGCCACCCGGUGACCCGGCCACCAGGCGGGACAGCUGCCAUGCCUUCUGCUGUGGGUACGUGGUGGAGGGGCCGUGGGCAGCCUGUGGCAGCUCAGGCGGGGACAGUGAUGGGGGUGCUGUGAACAUGGGGCCGAGCAGUGCGAAUUGCCCCUGCUGCCACGGUGGCCGUGCUGGGGGCUGGGGGCCUGCUCUGGGUGCCCCUGACCCGGCUCUGGGCACAGCGCUGGGGCGGCUGGAGGCUCGCUUGCAGGGCCUUGGUCCUGGUCCAGUUCUUUUCGUUUCGUUUUGUUUUGCCUUCCUUCGCUUUGGGUGGGGACAGAGAACUUGGCCUCCAGAAGAACAGCGAUUCAGUGACUCCGAAGGUCUGUAUAUGUUCUCCUCCUGUUUUGUCAAGACUACCUUGUGACUCUGAAAGCAUGACAGCGAUGAAGCAAAGGAGAUCCCUGAGCAGAUGGCAGGUGAUUAGAAUGAGAUAAGGAAAUGGCAUGUCAUAUACUAAAAAUACAGAUGAGGGGUCAGCGACAUAUAUAAAUGCAAAGCAUCUUUUAUUUCAGUAUUGUUGAAGGAAUUUACCAACAUUCAUACCUGAAAUUUGGAAACAUGCUACUGUGUUUUUAGAUCAGCCCUGUGAAGUCUUUUUUUUGCAUUGGAAUUAAACUGUGAUUCUUCACUGUGCUCUAAAUGGAGUCAGAGCUGGUAUGCCACCAUGCCCCAGCGGAGGGCAGGCCACAAUGCAUUAUCGUAACUGGAGGACUGUAAUAAAGCAUGAUUUAAAAAC
Molecule: long non-coding RNA, 886 nt
Filed under: Anser brachyrhynchus (Pink-footed goose)
Lineage: Eukaryota; Metazoa; Chordata; Aves; Anseriformes; Anatidae
Description: lncRNA (ENSABRG00000019711.1)
Source: RNAcentral